Long non-coding RNA from Magallana angulata, 330 nucleotides. RefSeq lists it as uncharacterized. The transcript has 3 exons. The record is from RefSeq and is a predicted model, not a curated record. Lineage: Eukaryota; Metazoa; Mollusca; Bivalvia; Ostreida; Ostreidae.
UGAAUAUAUCCUCAAAAAUGUUGUUUGAUAUAUGGGUAUAAUUACAGCUUCAAAUAUCCACUUUUUAUGUUAUAUAUGUGCAUCAUAAAUCUAGUAGAAGAGCAGAAAAGAGAUAUAUAAACACGGCGUUCCGGAGACGGUUGACGGUAGUCCAGUUUGAGGACAUUAUUCUUACGUAUAUUUCUACAUAAUGGUGCCAUACGUAGAUAAAUGGCUGUUAUCAGAGAGGGAAGUACUGGGAUCUGUGGGCAUUACGUAGAUUAAUGACCGCCAUUACCAGAGUAUCGUGUGGACAAUAUGGUGCUGAGAGAUAUAGUUGCUAGGCAAGUA